This 717-nucleotide ribosomal RNA is filed under the name Salmonella enterica. Its description in RNAcentral is "partial 23S ribosomal RNA". It matches the Rfam family "Bacterial large subunit ribosomal RNA", at positions 830 to 1547 of the family's 2925-position model. The record is from RNAcentral. Lineage: Bacteria; Pseudomonadati; Pseudomonadota; Gammaproteobacteria; Enterobacterales; Enterobacteriaceae.
CAAUCAAACCGGGAGAUAGCUGGUUCUCCCCGAAAGCUAUUUAGGUAGCGCCUCGUGAAUUCAUCUCCGGGGGUAGAGCACUGUUUCGGCUAGGGGGCCAUCCCGGCUUACCAACCCGAUGCAAACUGCGAAUACCGGAGAAUGUUAUCACGGGAGACACACGGCGGGUGCUAACGUCCGUCGUGAAGAGGGAAACAACCCAGACCGCCAGCUAAGGUCCCAAAGUCAUGGUUAAGUGGGAAACGAUGUGGGAAGGCCCAGACAGCCAGGAUGUUGGCUUAGAAGCAGCCAUCAUUUAAAGAAAGCGUAAUAGCUCACUGGUCGAGUCGGCCUGCGCGGAAGAUGUAACGGGGCUAAACCAUGCACCGAAGCUGCGGCAGCGACGCUGAUGCGUUGUUGGGUAGGGGAGCGUUCUGUAAGCCUGCGAAGGUGGCCUGUGAGGGUUGCUGGAGGUAUCAGAAGUGCGAAUGCUGACAUAAGUAACGAUAAAGCGGGUGAAAAGCCCGCUCGCCGGAAGACCAAGGGUUCCUGUCCAACGUUAAUCGGGGCAGGGUGAGUCGACCCCUAAGGCGAGGCCGAAAGGCGUAGUCGAUGGGAAACGGGUUAAUAUUCCCGUACUUGGUGUUACUGCGAAGGGGGGACGGAGAAGGCUAUGUUGGCCGGGCGACGGUUGUCCCGGUUUAAGCGUGUAGGUGUGUGUUCCAGGUAAAUCCGGUU